UGACAUGAUAUGGUGAGAAAGGACAUAU
RNAcentral lists this non-coding RNA (28 nucleotides) under Mus musculus (house mouse). Lineage: Eukaryota; Metazoa; Chordata; Mammalia; Rodentia; Muridae. The record is from RNAcentral.